RNAcentral lists this ribosomal RNA (645 nucleotides) under uncultured bacterium. RNAcentral's name for it is "bacterial SSU rRNA". It matches the Rfam family "Bacterial small subunit ribosomal RNA", at positions 202 to 842 of the family's 1533-position model. The record is from RNAcentral.
CAAAGGAAGCGAUUCCGGCAACGGAUGGGCAUGCGUGACAUUAGCUAGUUGGCGGGGCAACGGCCCACCAAGGCGACGAUGUCUAGGGGUUCUGAGAGGAAGGUCCCCCACACUGGUACUGAGACACGGACCAGACUCCUACGGGAGGCAGCAGUGAGGAAUAUUGGUCAAUGGGCGCGAGCCUGAACCAGCCAAGUCGCGUGAGGGAUGACGGCCCUACGGGUUGUAAACCUCUUUUGUCGGGGAGCAAAUUCCGCCACGCGUGGCGGAGUCGAGAGUACCCGAAGAAAAAGCAUCGGCUAACUCCGUGCCAGCAGCCGCGGUAAUACGGAGGAUGCGAGCGUUAUCCGGAUUUAUUGGGUUUAAAGGGUGCGUAGGCGGACUGUCAAGUCAGCGGUAAAAUACGGGGGCUCAACCUCCGCCCGCCGUUGAAACUGACGGUCUUGAGUGGGCGAGAAGUAUGCGGAAUGCGUGGUGUAGCGGUGAAAUGCAUAGAUAUCACGCAGAACUCCGAUUGCGAAGGCAGCAUACCGGCGCCCAACUGACGCUGAAGCACGAAAGCGUGGGUAUCGAACAGGAUUAGAUACCCUGGUAGUCCACGCAGUAAACGAUGAAUGCUAGCUGUCCGGGGCGAAUGGGCCCUGG